Molecule: ribosomal RNA, 207 nt
Filed under: uncultured bacterium
Lineage: Bacteria
Description: partial 16S ribosomal RNA
Rfam family: Bacterial small subunit ribosomal RNA
Source: RNAcentral
CGUGUAGGCGGCCGAUUAGGUAUGGAGUGAAAGUCCUGCUUUCAAGGUGGGAAUUGCUUUGUAGACUGGUUGGCUUGAGUGCGGAAGAGGUAAGUGGAAUUCCCAGUGUAGCGGUGAAAUGCGUAGAGAUUGGGAGGAACACCAGUGGCGAAGGCGACUUACUGGGCCGUAACUGACGCUGAGGCGCGAAAGCGUGGGGAGCGAACA